This 348-nucleotide ribosomal RNA is filed under the name uncultured bacterium. RNAcentral describes it as "bacterial SSU rRNA". It matches the Rfam family "Bacterial small subunit ribosomal RNA", at positions 451 to 793 of the family's 1533-position model. The record is from RNAcentral.
GUGUAGUUAAUAGCUGCAUUACUUUGACGUUAGCGACAGAAGAAGCACCGGCUAACUCCGUGCCAGCAGCCGCGGUAAUACGGAGGGUGCGAGCGUUAAUCGGAAUUACUGGGCGUAAAGCGCAUGCAGGUGGUUUGUUAAGUCAGAUGUGAAAGCCCGGGGCUCAACCUCGGAAUAGCAUUUGAAACUGGCAGACUAGAGUACUGUAGAGGGGGUAGAAUUUCAGGUGUAGCGGUGUAAAUGCGUAGAGAUCUGAAGGAAUACCGGUGGCGAAGGCGGCCCCCUGGACAGAUACUGACACUCAGAUGCGAAAGCGUGGGGAGCAAACAGGAUUAGAUACCCUGGUAG